AAAGAGUAGAGAAGGCCCUACAAGUUUUGCUUGCACACAACUUGGAUGCAAGUGAGCAAAAAGUACGGCAGGUGUCGGCCAUCUUUUUUUUUGUUCGGGCAUGAUUUUUGUGCUAUGCGCAUAGCAUAGCCAUCGGCGCCUAAGGGUUUGAAGCGGUUGAAAUAUUUCGCAUAAAUUUUCAUGAAAUUUUUCACAUUUGAAAAAAAAUCAUCAUUAUGGCGUUUAAAUCGUAUUCGGUUGCAGACUUUCCCAAUGUGUUGAUGCUUUUGUCUUUCCUACUGAGAGUUAGAUAUUAGAGAAAAUAACUGAAAAUAGAUAGGAAUAUCUUUUUCUUCGCUUAAGCGGUAUUUAUUUAUUAUGUUUAAAAACGAACGUUCGGGUACGGGCCCGGAUAAUCGCGCCAACUGAAUUGGUUGAUCUGUGAUACCACUGUGCGAAUUGACAGCAUAGCACCAUUGUUGUUUAUAAAAUCGUUUGCUGUGUAAACAUUGCAAAUUAUCAAAUUCAGAAGCGCUUUAUACAUUAUAAACUAAGUUAUAUAAUGCCCUAUUUGAUUGCAUCUGGUAAAAUAUUCCUCGUUUACUUGCAGAUAAUUACGUACUCCCAAAUUAAACACCCGAUCGUCAAUUUAUUAUAAAAGUUGAGGCUGAUCAUCUAAAUCAAGUUUGUUCAGAACUGAAGCGGUUGAACUAAUCCCGAAAAUGACUGUAUCAAUGUAUCAAUGUAAUCACAAUUCGUGAUACCUUCAUUCAACUUUAUGGUGACAAAUAGUCAUUCCUCUUAAUAAUCGCAUAAAAACGCUUGCGGCUACAACAUUUUCUACAACAAACCUUACACGCCACACAAAGAUGUAGGUGUGAAUAUACAUUGCUGUGUGACAAGUGGUUUUUUUUUUUUAACUUGGACGAUUGUAUUGGUAAAGCAAAACUCUUUUCAAAAAAACAUGGAAACAGGCCAAACACGAAAAUAUUUAUACAUGGUCCAUAAUGCAAACUGGAUGGGUGGAUACUUACGAAUCAAAUUGGUCAUAAAGGCUAUAUAUAACAAAUAGCGCUAUAUGAAUAUGUCACAGUUUUUCUUAUCUUGGCUCACAGCAGCUGAUUAUAAAGAUUCGUCAUCCUUAUUUUAACUGCCCGGUAGAUUAAGAUGGUGAUCCAAUGGAGCGUUUGGUCUCAAAGCAGUUUUUACAAACGCCGAAUACGUAGCGUUCGAUCACUUAAUCCGCAUAACCGAUAUAGCGGAAUUUGGGGCAAGUAAUACAGCUGUAGCUGAGGCUGGAUAACCUACGGCUUGUAACAUCUCGUACUGCUCGUUAACUCGUGAGGCGAGCAUUUAUGUACAGGUCAAAGAAAUUGCCUCAUCACUCAGAAAGAAAGAACUCAUCACUCCAACUCAUACGUUAUCCAAAUCAUAUCACAUAGAUCACAUCACCCAGCGUUGAACGGCGUUAGACCUAAUUGAAACGAAUGUUUUCUCCACAUAACGUAAUCCUUUCUUGUGUAAGGAGUGCAACUCAGAAGACUGCUUGAUGCUGUUUUCAAAUUGGGGUCAAAAACUGAUCCAUUGUGUUUUCUAAAAGGUGUUACGUAUGUUCUUUAGAACCACCUUUGAUUUGUUAGCGCAAAAGAAAUUGCGUCGCUUCUUUCCAUCGAGGAUAAUCAUAUGCAUAAAUCCAACGCUUCCGACGGCUCCGACGGCUCCGGACAAUUCCGACGGCUCCGUCGGCUGCAACGGCUCCAACGGCUCCGAAGGCUCCGGACGGCUCCGGACGGCGCCGACGGCUCCGACAGCUCCGGACGGCUCCGAAUGCUCCAGCUGUCGACUAGUGGCUCCAGACGGCUCCGACGGCUCCGGGCGGAAUCGACGGUUUGAAUUAUUCGAAAUCGGAGCCGGAGUAGCAAUGCUCGGAAGCGAUUCCGAGCCGUGGGUGCGAUUCCGGUGACCCAUCAUGUGAAAUUUGCGUAUGUUUUUCCUCGAUAGCUAGAUGUCCGAACAUUUCGAAGUCUCUACGCAUGACAUAAAAAAAUAAUUUAACUGCGAAUGUAUCGUCCAAGGCGCUCGCGAGAGACGUUUCACUGUCCUGUGCAGUACUACUCAGGAGGCUCGAGAUGCUAAAAUUAUAUUUACGAAUGUUGUCACAAUAAUGAAAAGAAUGAAUUAAUGUAUAUUUUCUUAAAAAUGUAAUGUUUUAUAUUUUAUGCUUAUUUUUUUUAAAUAUUUUAUGAUUAGCAAAUGACGAUCAAAACAGCAUGUAUGUACAUAUUCGUAGAAAACUUUUAUUGUUUACAAAAUGUGCAAAGUACGUUGAAAAUUACAACGUUAUUAUUAAAAUAAAAUACGUCAAUUAAUGAAUAAAUACAUA
Molecule: long non-coding RNA, 2362 nt
Organism: Anopheles gambiae (African malaria mosquito)
Lineage: Eukaryota; Metazoa; Arthropoda; Insecta; Diptera; Culicidae
Exons: 3
Source: RefSeq, a predicted model, not a curated record